GCGGAAGUAGCUCAGGGGUAGAGCAUCGCCUUGCCAAGGCGAUGGCCGCGGGUUCAAAUCCCGCCUUCCGCUCCA
This 75-nucleotide transfer RNA is filed under the name Clostridiales bacterium UBA8153. RNAcentral describes it as "tRNA-Gly". It matches the Rfam family "tRNA". From Rfam's summary of the family: Transfer RNA (tRNA) molecules are approximately 80 nucleotides in length. Their secondary structure includes four short double-helical elements and three loops (D, anti-codon, and T loops). Lineage: Bacteria; Bacillati; Bacillota; Clostridia; Eubacteriales; Clostridiales Family XVII. Incertae Sedis. The record is from RNAcentral.